CGGGGUCUCGGCCCCCUACUCUUCACCCUUUGCGUACAUACCUUUGUUGCUUUGGCGGACCCGAGGAUCCUCUCGCGCCGACUCUGAGGUUGGCGAGUGUCCGUCAGAGGCCCAUCUCGUCCUAUCUAUCAGUGAAGUCCGAGCCCACAACACAAUGAAUCAAAACUUUCAACAACGGAUCUCUUGGUUCCAGCAUCGAUGAAGAACGCAGCGAAAUGCGACAAGUAAUGUGAAUUGCAGAACUCAGUGAAUCAUCGAAUCUUUGAACGCACAUUGCGCCCCUCGGCAUCCCGGGGGGCAUGCCUGUUCGAGCGUCAUUGCACCCCUCAAGCCCAGCUUGGUAUUGGGACUUCGUCCCCGUGGCGUGCCCGAAAAACAGUGGCGGUCCGGCGUGACUUUGAGCGUAGUAAACUUCUCCCGCUCUGAAGCUCCCGACGCGGCCGGCCAGAUAACCCCUUUGCUUCUAUAAUUGACCUCGGAUCAGGCAGGGAUACCCGCUGAACUUAAGCAUAUCAAUAAGCGGAGGAAAAGAAACCAACA
Molecule: ribosomal RNA, 540 nt
Filed under: Xanthoparmelia tentaculina
Lineage: Eukaryota; Fungi; Ascomycota; Lecanoromycetes; Lecanorales; Parmeliaceae
Description: eukaryotic LSU rRNA
Rfam family: 5.8S ribosomal RNA (bases 164-317)
Source: RNAcentral